CUACGGGGGGCUGCAGUGAGGAAUAUUGCACAAUGGGGGGAACCCUGAUGCAGCAACGCCGCGUGGAGGAUGACGCAUUUCGGUGUGUAAACUCCUUUUAUAUGUCAAGAAAAUGACGGUAGCAUAUGAAUAAGCAUCGGCUAACUCCGUGCCAGCAGCCGCGGUAAUACGGAGGGUGCAAGCGUUACUCGGAAUCACUGGGCGUAAAGGACGCGUAGGCGGGUUGGAAAGUCAGGUGUGAAAUCCUACAGCUUAACUGUAGAACUGCACUUGAAACUUCUAAUCUAGAGUAUGGGAGGGGGAGAUGGAAUUAGUGGUGUAGGGGUAAGAUCCGUAGAUAUCACUAGGAAUACCUAAAGCGAAGGCGAUCUCCUGGAACAUUACUGACGCUAAGGCGUGAAAGCGUGGGGAGCAAACAGGAUUAGAUACCCGGGUAGUC
RNAcentral lists this ribosomal RNA (439 nucleotides) under uncultured bacterium. Its description in RNAcentral is "partial 16S ribosomal RNA". It matches the Rfam family "Bacterial small subunit ribosomal RNA", at positions 339 to 795 of the family's 1533-position model. The record is from RNAcentral.